RNAcentral lists this ribosomal RNA (254 nucleotides) under uncultured bacterium. RNAcentral describes it as "partial 16S ribosomal RNA". It matches the Rfam family "Bacterial small subunit ribosomal RNA", at positions 524 to 776 of the family's 1533-position model. The record is from RNAcentral.
UACGAAGGGGGCUAGCGUUGCUCGGAAUCACUGGGCGUAAAGCGCACGUAGGUGGGUCGCUAAGUCGGGGGUGAAAUCCUGGAGCUCAACUCCAGAACUGCCUUCGAUACUGGCGAUCUUUGAGUCCGGGAGAGGUGGGUGGAACUGCGAGUGUAGAGGUGAAAUUCGUAGAUAUUCGGAAGAACACCAGUGGCGAAGGCGGCUCACUGGCCCGGUACUGACGCUGAGGUGCGAAAGCGUGGGUAGCGAAUGGG